RNAcentral lists this ribosomal RNA (619 nucleotides) under Parasaissetia nigra. RNAcentral's name for it is "eukaryotic LSU rRNA". The stretch from base 276 to 619 matches the Rfam family "Eukaryotic large subunit ribosomal RNA", at positions 665 to 852 of the family's 3401-position model. Lineage: Eukaryota; Metazoa; Arthropoda; Insecta; Hemiptera; Coccidae. The record is from RNAcentral.
AUUUCCGCCGCCGACCCUCAACCGAGGGUGUCGGACGUCGCGACCCGUUCGCCCAGGUCGAUACUCAGGGACGCGUUUCAAGUUCGCCGGCGCGGUCGUCUCGGCGGCCGCGUCACGAUGGCGCGUUUCCGCUGUUCUCGACGCGGACGGUAGCUUUGCGCGCGGGUAAUCGACGCGGUCCUUUGUCCGGCGUCUCCGUACGUCGGACGGCGCUCGCGUCGACGCCGGUCAGCGACGAAUCUUCGGGCCUCUUUCCGACCCGUCUUGAAACACGGACCAAGGAGUCUAGCGUGCGCGCGAGUCGCGGGGUAUCCGAGUCGUCGUAGUCGUUUCGGCGGCGAACGCGACUCGUCACGAUACGAAACCCGUGUACGUACGUUGUGCGAAGGCGUAAUGAAAGUGAAAGGCGACGCUUCGCGCGUCGCCGGGGGAAGACGGUGUUCCGUGUACCACGUUUCGCGGUCAUACGUGUACCGCGGCCGGACACCCGCAUUCCCAGGGCGUCCCGCUCGUACGUCGGCCGUCGGGUCUCGGCUCGGCGGUCGGCGAACUGGGGCGCACCUACAGCGUGCACGCUGGUACCCGAAAGAUGGUGAACUAUGCCCGGCCAGGAUGAAGU